This 468-nucleotide ribosomal RNA is filed under the name uncultured bacterium. RNAcentral's name for it is "partial 16S ribosomal RNA". It matches the Rfam family "Bacterial small subunit ribosomal RNA", at positions 28 to 507 of the family's 1533-position model. The record is from RNAcentral.
GACGAACGCUGGCGGCGUGCUUAACACAUGCAAGUCGAACGGAAAGGCCCUGCUUUUGUGGGGUGCUCGAGUGGCGAACGGGUGAGUAACACGUGAGUAACCUGCCCUUGACUUUGGGAUAACUUCAGGAAACUGGGGCUAAUACCGGAUAGGAGCUCCUGCUGCAUGGUGGGGGUUGGAAAGUUUCGGCGGUUGUGGAUGGACUCGCGGCUUAUCAGCUUGUUGGUGUGGUAGUGGCUUACCAAGGCUUUGACGGGUAGCCGGCCUGAGAGGGUGACCGGCGACAAUGGGACUGAGAUGCGGCCCAGACUCCUACGGGAGGCAGCAGUGGGGAAUAUUGCACAAUGGGCGGAAGCCUGAUGCAGCAACGCCGCGUGCGGGAUGCCGGCCUUCGGGUUGUAAACCGCUUUCGCCUGUGACGAAGCGUGAGUGACGGUAAUGGGUAAAGAAGCACCGGCUAACUACGUG